AUCCUGGCUCAGGAUGAACGCUAGCGGCAGGCCUAAUACAUGCAAGUCGAACGGGUUGUGGUAGCAAUACCACGAUCAGUGGCGCACGGGUGCGUAACGCGUAUGCAACCUACCUUAAACUGGGGGAUAGCCUUCCGAAAGGAAGAUUAAUACCGCAUAAGAUCACACGAGGGCAUCUGAGAGUGAUUAAAGAUUUAUUGGUUUAAGAUGGGCAUGCGUGCCAUUAGCUAGUUGGUAGGGUAACGGCCUACCAAGGCGACGAUGGCUAGGGGUUCUGAGAGGAUGAUCCCCCACACUGGCACUGAGAUACGGGCCAGACUCCUACGGGAGGCAGCAGUAGGGAAUAUUGGGCAAUGGAGGCAACUCUGACCCAGCCAUGCCGCGUGCAAGAAGAAGGCCUUCUGGGUUGUAAACUGCUUUUAUCUGGGAAGAAAAAGCCCCUGCGGGGGAAACUGACGGUACCAGAGGAAUAAGCACCGGCUAACUCCGUGCCAGCAGCCGCGGUAAUACGGAGGGUGCAAGCGUUGUCCGGAUUUAUUGGGUUUAAAGGGUGCGUAGGCGGCCCGGUAAGUCAGUGGUGAAAGCCUCCAGCUCAACUGGAGAACUGCCAUUGAUACUGCCGGGCUUGAGUACAGACGAGGUUGGCGGAAUUGAUUGUGUAGCGGUGAAAUGCAUAGAUACAAUCAAGAACUCCGAUUGCGUAGGCAGCUAACUAGGCUGUAACUGACGCUGAGGCACGAAAGCGUGGGGAGCGAACAGGAUUAGAUACCCUGGUAGUCCACGCUGUAAACGAUGAUUACUCGAUGUUGGCGAUAAACUGUCAGCGUCUUAGCGAAAGCGUUAAGUAAUCCACCUGGGGAGUACGCCCGCAAGGGUGAAACUCAAAGGA
RNAcentral lists this ribosomal RNA (889 nucleotides) under uncultured bacterium. RNAcentral's name for it is "bacterial SSU rRNA". It matches the Rfam family "Bacterial small subunit ribosomal RNA", at positions 16 to 908 of the family's 1533-position model. The record is from RNAcentral.